RNAcentral lists this long non-coding RNA (1726 nucleotides) under Homo sapiens (human). RNAcentral describes it as "HSALNT0183647". The record is from RNAcentral. Lineage: Eukaryota; Metazoa; Chordata; Mammalia; Primates; Hominidae.
CGGUGGGUCAUGCCUGUAAUCCUCGCAAUUUGGGAGGCCGAGGCAGGUGGAUUACUUGAGGUCAGGAGUUUGAGACCAGCCUGGCCAACAUGGUGAAACCCCUUCUCUACUAAAAAUACAAAAGUGAGCUGGGACGGUGGUGUGUGCCUGUAAUCCCAGCUACUCGGGAGGCAGAGACAGGAGAAUCAUUUGAACCUGGGAGGCUGAGGUUGCAGUGAGCCAAGAUUGCACCACUGCACUCUAACCUGGGCAACACAGUGAAAGUUUGUCUCAAAAGAAAGAAAAGAAAGAAAGAAAGAAAAAAAGGAAGGAAGGAAGGAAAGAAAGAAGAAAGAAAGAAAGAGAGAAAAGAAAAUAGGCAGAAAACUGAGCCAGAUGGGCAGACAAAGAGAGAAGCCUCCAGCUACGUAUCAGACAAGCAGAGAAGGUGAGGGGUGCAGGCGCCCUGGCCACCCUGCAGCUGGCUCAGCAUCUGGACAGGAGAACAAAGCCGUGGCCCAGGAAACCUCCAUGGAGAAGACUGAAUUCUGGUCCAGCUGCUGCGUAAUCUACAUCGCUUGAGCGGAAGAGGAUCUGUAGUAACUGAUCCUUGGCUCUACACUCUCCCAUCCAUCAUCAGGAACAAUAGCGGGCUGCAGUUGCCUUUCCAACCCUGCUUUGAAGGGCUUAAUAUGUUGAUGGUUGCCAUGGCAAACAAGCUUAAAACACCACUGGAUGAUGUGAACGGCAGAGAUAAUGCUUCAUAACUUUCAACGGCUAGACUCCAGAAGGAGGAUUUUUGUAUUGCCAUUGUGUAGUGGAAAGAACGGCAAAAUGAGGAUCAGAAGAACUGGAUCUGUCUCAGAUCAGCCAUCAACUGGCUAUGUGGCCCUGGAUGGCACACCAUUUAACCCGUCUGUGCAGAGUACUAACUCAUCUGAAAAAGCAAGAAAUAAUAACAAAAGCAGUAACUGUGGAAAUCAUAAGAAAGUAAUAAUAUCAAUUGCAGCCCAGAAGUUGGAAUCUGGUCCCUCCUCUCCAUGAACCAAGUAUGAGACUUUAGAUAUUUCACACAAUGUUUCUGGGUCACUCUGUUCUCAUUGGGAAAGUUAGAGAUCAAAGAUACAUAUUAUAUAUUUUGUACUUGUGCCAUACCAACAAUAGAUAAGGAAGAGCUGGUGUUCCAGGCCAGCUAAUCAUCAUGGGAGACAGUGUCUGUGGCUGUCACUUCUCUAGUGGCCCUGCAGCUCACACCAAGUGUGUUAAAGCUACUCCGGAUGAGCCAAGUGUUCCACUGUGAUUGUCACUGUGGUCCUCUCCAUCAACAGGAUCUAUCAGAAAGCAGAAAAUGAAGCCCUAACAGCGUACUUACUCUCAUCAGUGGAUUAAACUUCAUCUUCCUCCUUCACCCUCCGUAGAGAUUAGCAAAGAUCUUGAGUUCUGCAUGUUUCUGAAUUAAAGUAAGUGUUCAAUCAUUUAUGUGCUUGAAGAAUUCCCUGACAAACUGGUUCUAUGGUUACGAGUUCAUAUGAAAGCAGUCUCACCAAAAGUUGCCUUUUGGCCGUCAGGCAACAGGAAGGCUGCCAUUUUGCAAGCCAAAUAGUUCACUCUUACUGAUUAUGGUCUGGGGGAAAAUGGCUGACUAGAGAUGCAGAAUAGUCCCCUAUCUAAGUGUAGUGAGAUGGUUUACAGGUCCGGAACCUUUGAGAACAUUAUUUAAUCACACAGUGGUUUUGAUAGAGACCAG